Non-coding RNA from Arachis ipaensis, 384 nucleotides. The record is from RefSeq and is a predicted model, not a curated record. NCBI's taxonomy places the organism in Eukaryota, Viridiplantae, Streptophyta, Magnoliopsida, Fabales, Fabaceae.
CAAAGAGAAAGACAACACUGAGAAAACAACAUCAACAACACAGCAAAGACCCCUUCACCACUUCUUUGGUGAGUGGCCACCAAAGAACACUGAUUCAUGGCUUGAUCUUGCUUCCAACUCUAGAAUACCCUCCUCAGAUGAAUGACGUUGGUGAUUAUGUAUGAAUGUGUCUGGUCUCUGAAGAUGGAUACAGCCAAAGAAGGUGGGGGAAACUUAUUGAUAAAGAUCAAUGUUAUUGUGUGGCUGGGGUGGUUCUCUUUUGCAAAAGGUGCUGUAGUCUUUAUUUGUGUUAUGUAAGGAAAAAGGGUGGAUGGGACCACAUUAGCAUGUAUGUCUAUGCUUUUUUUCUUCUUCAUAUUUAUAAUUAUUAUUAUUAUUAUUUUA